Molecule: ribosomal RNA, 372 nt
Filed under: uncultured organism
Description: bacterial SSU rRNA
Rfam family: Bacterial small subunit ribosomal RNA
Source: RNAcentral
CAGAGGGGGCGAGCGUUGUUCGGAAUUACUGGGCGUAAAGGGCGCGUAGGCGGCCUUCUAAGUCGAACGUGAAAUCCCCAGGCUCAACCUGGGAACUGCGUCCGAUACUGGGAGGCUUGAAUCCGGGAGAGGGAUGUGGAAUUCCAGGUGUAGCGGUGAAAUGCGUAGAUAUCUGGAGGAACACCGGUGGCGAAGGCGGCAUCCUGGACCGGUAUUGACGCUGAGGCGCGAAAGCUAGGGGAGCAAACGGGAUUAGAUACCCCGGUAGUCCUAGCCCUAAACGAUGAAUGCUUGGUGUGGCGGGUAUCGAUCCCUGCCGUGCCGAAGCUAACGCAUUAAGCAUUCCGCCUGGGGAGUACGGUCGCAAGGCUG